GCAUAUCAAUAAGCGGAGGAAAAGAAACCAACAGGGAUUGCCCCAGUAACGGCGAGUGAAGCGGCAACAGCUCAAAUUUGAAAUCUGGCCCCAGGCCCGAGUUGUAAUUUGCAGAGGAUGCUUUUGGCGCGGUGCCUUCCGAGUUCCCUGGAACGGGACGCCAUAGAGGGUGAGAGCCCCGUACGGUUGGACACCAAGCCUUUGUAAAGCUCCUUCGACGAGUCGAGUAGUUUGGGAAUGCUGCUCUAAAUGGGAGGUACAUUUCUUCUAAAGCUAAAUAUUGGCCAGAGACCGAUAGCGCACAAGUAGAGUGAUCGAAAGAUGAAAAGCACUUUGAAAAGAGGGUUAAACAGCACGUGAAAUUGUUAAAAGGGAAGCGCUUGUGACCAGACUUGCGUCCGGUGAAUCACCCAGCUCUCGCGGCUGGGGCACUUCGCCGGCACAGGCCAGCAUCAGCUUGCCGUCGGGGACAAAAGCUUCAGGAACGUGGCUCCUCUCGGGGAGUGUUAUAGCCUGUUGCAUAAUACCCUUCGGCGGGCUGAGGUACGCGCUCCGCAAGGAUGCUGGCGUAAUGGUCAUCAGCGACC
Molecule: ribosomal RNA, 587 nt
Filed under: Colletotrichum nymphaeae
Lineage: Eukaryota; Fungi; Ascomycota; Sordariomycetes; Glomerellales; Glomerellaceae
Description: partial large subunit ribosomal RNA
Rfam family: Eukaryotic large subunit ribosomal RNA
Source: RNAcentral